This is an RNA transcript of Vespa velutina, 2368 nucleotides long. It is a transcript of the gene named dehydrogenase/reductase SDR family member 7, with no coding region annotated. The transcript is spliced from 10 exons. Lineage: Eukaryota; Metazoa; Arthropoda; Insecta; Hymenoptera; Vespidae. The record is from RefSeq and is a predicted model, not a curated record.
UGGAAUUCUGAAAUAUAAACUAUUAACAUUCGAUAUCCCGAUACUUUAUUGAGAAGAAAAACACUGUAUCUAAUCAUUAAUAAUAUCUAAUCACUUUGGAAGAAAAUAUAUUUUUUUUUAAUUAACGUGUAUAUAACUCUAUUAGAUAGUGAGAAAACGAAGAAAAAGGGGAGAGAGAGAGAGAGAGAGAGAGAGAGAGAGAGAGAGAGAGAAAGAGAGAAGAAAAGCAAAUAUUCAAAAAUGUAUAAUAGAUCAGUGCGGUUGGAUCUGACGAUGUAUAAAUCGAUAGACAUCGAGUUUUCUGAUGUGGUGUACGAAAUUCCAAAUGGAUUUUUUGGUCAAAAGAAACAAAUCCUUAAAGGGAUCAACGGAUAUUUCAAAUCCGGCGAGAUGUCAGCUAUAAUAGGUCCAUCGGGAGCUGGGAAGUCUACGUUAUUGAACAUUUUGACGGGAUUUAAACAGGAGAAAAAAUUAGAAGGCAAGAUAAAUUAUCUCGACAAAAAAGGAAAUAAAGAAUCCUGGACGAAACAUAGAAAGUAUUCCUGUUAUAUAUUACAAGAAGAUUAUCUUCCUAAUCUAUUUACAGUGAAUGAAUUAAUGAUGAUAUCAUUGAAUUUGAAGAUAGGUAACAAUCUGAAUCAAAAGAUGAAACAGAUUUUGAUCGACAAUAUUUUAAAUACAUUGGAUUUGUUGGGAGAUAAGAACAAACGUACGGAUAUACUGAGCGGCGGACAAAAGAAAAGACGAUAUGAUGUCAUACUACACAUACGAAAUGAAUUUCAAGCAAAAAUUACCACGCAUUGCAAUAUUUAUUAUCAAGUCAUGUUUCUUACAAGUCAACUCUUUAUAAAUCAGCCUUUUACAAGACAAGUUUUUAUAAAACAACUUCUUACAAGUCAGGUUUCUACAAAUCAGGUUUUUACAAAAUUGAUUGUACUUAUCCGAAGAAAUAUGGAUUUUUUAACAUUUAUUGGACUGAUUUAUAUUUGUUAUAUUCUUGCCAUUUUCAUUUAUCCUUGGUGUAUGGAUUGUAAUAUAGAACUUGCUUUAUUAACCAAAUUUGGAAAAUCUAUUGAUACAUUGAAAGGUAAAGUUGUCUGGAUAACUGGUGCUUCCAGUGGAAUUGGAGAACACUUAGCAUACACAUUAGCAAAAGCUGGAUGUAAAUUAAUAUUAUCUGCUAGAAGAGAGUCACUAUUACAAAAUGUUAAGCAAGCUUGUUUAAAAGAAAAUGCUGACUUGAAAGACGAUGAUGUGCUAGUACUUCCAUUAGAUGUUUGUAAUAUGAACUUACAUCAGGAAGCAUUUGAUACAAUUAUUAAAAAAUUUGGCAAGCUUGACAUAUUGGUUAAUAAUGCAGGACGAAGUCAAAGAGCACAUUGGGAAAAUAUUGAGUUAAGUGUGGAUAGAGAAAUAUUUGAAUUGAAUGUGUUUUCAUACUUAUCAUUAUCUCGUAUAGUAAUGAAAUAUUUCUUACAAAAUAAUCUCGGUCAGAUUAUAGUUAUAUCUAGUUUAGGUGGAAUUUUUCCAGCUCCUUACUCAGCAAGUUAUACUGGUAGCAAAUACGCAUUGCAUGGUUAUUUUGAUUCCUAUCGUGUAGAAAAAUAUGGUAAAAAUUUUCCUUCUGUCACUGUAAUAUGUCCUGGACCAAUUCAAACAAACUUUCUAGCAGAAGCUUUCACAGAAAAAUCAGGAGAGAAAUUUGGAAUAGAAACAGAUAAAGCCGGUAAUAAGGUUAGCGUAGAACGUUGCGCUAAUUUAUCAGCAAUUGCGAUUGCAAACGAAGUUUCUGAGGCAUGGAUUUCACAACCAUCUAUAUUAUUCGUGGCAUAUUUAAUAAAAUAUUUUCCAAAUAUGGGUGAAUGAUUCUAAUUUUUUUAACAUAAGCUUCCUAGCAUUUUUUCCGCGCAAUAUUGCCUCGCAGAAAAGAUUACAAUAAAGUUCAAUGGCACAUGGCGUAUCAUCAUUGCCAGGAACAGGAUAUGUUAUAAGAUUAGGAUUACAAUUUGUAUCAACAAUGCCAACAGUAGACUUCCAGCUUCUAGUUAAUGCAUAUUCUUGGCAAUUCAAGGCAGUUUUUUCAAUUAUACAAGUGCUUGAAGGAUUCUUGGAAAUAAAUAAAAUUAAUCCACCAUGAAGUGCGAUAUGAGCAGUAAAAUUCAAUGCUUGUCGUAAAAAUUCAGCCGUUUGGUUCAAAUCUAUUAUCAAGUGUCCUAAUCUUGAACCAAAUAUGAAUGGACGCAUAUUUUCAUGCAAUGUACCUUCCUUGUGACCAUAAUGUACCAUUCCAUUAAAUAAAUCUUUAAUUGUAAAAAGGUUAUGUACUUGAAAAAAGUCUGGGUGUUCCAUAGGAUUAAUAGAAUGGUUU